CUACGGGAGGCAGCAGUGGGGAAUUUUCCGCAAUGGGCGAAAGCCUGACGGAGCAAUACCGCGUGAGGGAAGACUGCCUAUGGGUUGUAAACCUCUUUUUUCAGGGAGGAAUCAAUGACGUGUACCUGAAGAAUAAGCAUCGGCUAACUCCGUGCCAGCAGCCGCGGUAAGACGGAGGAUGCAAGUGUUAUCCGGAAUCACUGGGCGUAAAGCGUCUGUAGGUGGUUUAAUAAGUCAACUGUUAAAUCUUGAGGCUCAACUUCAAAAUCGCAGUCGAAACUAUUAGACUAGAGUAUAGUAGAGGUAAAGGGAAUUUCCAGUGGAGCGGUGAAAUGCGUAGAUAUUGGAAAGAACACCGAUGGCGAAAGCACUUUACUGGGCUAUUACUAACACUCAGAGACGAAAGCUAGGGUAGCAAAUGGGAUUAGAUACCCCAGUAGUCCUAGCCGUAAACAAUGGAUACUAGAUGUUGAACAGAUCGACCUGUGCAGUAUCAAAGCUAACGCGUUAAGUACCCCGCCUGGGAAGUAUGCUCGCAAGAGUGAAACUCAAAG
This 554-nucleotide ribosomal RNA is filed under the name uncultured bacterium. Its description in RNAcentral is "bacterial SSU rRNA". It matches the Rfam family "Bacterial small subunit ribosomal RNA", at positions 339 to 906 of the family's 1533-position model. The record is from RNAcentral.